RNAcentral lists this non-coding RNA (22 nucleotides) under Arabidopsis thaliana (thale cress). The record is from RNAcentral. Lineage: Eukaryota; Viridiplantae; Streptophyta; Magnoliopsida; Brassicales; Brassicaceae.
CAAAGGUGGAAAAUAAGCUGAA